AGGUCCGGGGGUUCGAAUCCCUCACUCUCCGC
This 32-nucleotide small RNA is filed under the name Bombyx mori (domestic silkworm). RNAcentral's name for it is "ovarian small RNA-12238". Lineage: Eukaryota; Metazoa; Arthropoda; Insecta; Lepidoptera; Bombycidae. The record is from RNAcentral.